GGGUUGUGAGGUUAAGCGACUAAGCGUACACGGUGGAUGCCCUGGCAGUCAGAGGCGAUGAAGGACGUGCUAAUCUGCGAUAAGCGUCGGUAAGGUGAUAUGAACCGUUAUAACCGGCGAUUUCCGAAUGGGGAAACCCAGUGUGAUUCGUCACACUAUCAUUAACUGAA
Molecule: ribosomal RNA, 170 nt
Filed under: Escherichia coli
Lineage: Bacteria; Pseudomonadati; Pseudomonadota; Gammaproteobacteria; Enterobacterales; Enterobacteriaceae
Also listed under: 1 other name
Description: partial 23S ribosomal RNA
Rfam family: Bacterial large subunit ribosomal RNA
Source: RNAcentral